UGGGGAACCUGCCCCAUAGUCUGGGAUACCACUUGGAAACAGGUGCUAAUACCGGAUAAGAAAGCGGAUCGCAUGAUCAGCUUUUAAAAGGCGGCGUAAGCUGUCGCUAUGGGAUGGCCCCGCGGUGCAUUAGCUAGUUGGUAAGGUAAAGGCUUACCAAGGCGAUGAUGCAUAGCCGAGUUGAGAGACUGAUCGGCCACAUUGGGACUGAGACACGGCCCAAACUCCUACGGGAGGCAGCAGC
Molecule: ribosomal RNA, 244 nt
Filed under: uncultured Lactobacillus sp.
Lineage: Bacteria; Bacillati; Bacillota; Bacilli; Lactobacillales; Lactobacillaceae
Description: partial 16S ribosomal RNA
Rfam family: Bacterial small subunit ribosomal RNA
Source: RNAcentral